UCCCAGUGAAGAAAUGUUCAAGGCUAUACCUUCUGUCCUAGUCCCAGAUCCUGUAAAGGUGAACUCACUGGGCCGGCUGGGGAAAGGAAGAAAGUUUGUUACAAAAGGAAUUGUCUGAGGGAG
Molecule: small nucleolar RNA, 123 nt
Organism: Hyaena hyaena (striped hyena)
Lineage: Eukaryota; Metazoa; Chordata; Mammalia; Carnivora; Hyaenidae
Product: small nucleolar RNA SNORD22
Exons: 1
Source: RefSeq, a predicted model, not a curated record